RNAcentral lists this ribosomal RNA (517 nucleotides) under uncultured Actinomycetes bacterium. Its description in RNAcentral is "bacterial SSU rRNA". It matches the Rfam family "Bacterial small subunit ribosomal RNA", at positions 355 to 863 of the family's 1533-position model. Lineage: Bacteria; Bacillati; Actinomycetota; Actinomycetes. The record is from RNAcentral.
UGGGGAAUCUUGCGCAAAUGCGGGAAACCGUGACGCAGCGACGCCGCGUGGGGGAAGAAGGCCUUCGGGUUGUAAACCUCUUUCAGGAGGGACGAAGCUACUCGGGUUAAUAGCCCAGAGGGUGACGGUACCUCCAGAAGAAGCCCCGGCUAACUACGUGCCAGCAGCCGCGGUAAUACGUAGGGGGCAAGCGUUGUCCGGAUUUAUUGGGCGUAAAGAGCGUGUAGGCGGCUUGGUAGGUCCGCUGUGAAAACUCGAGGCUCAACCUCGAAAUGUCGGCGGAAACCACUUGGCUAGAGUCCGGAAGAGGAGAGUGGAAUUCCUGGUGUAGCGGUGAAAUGCGCAGAUAUCAGGAAGAACACCUAUGGCGAAGGCAGCUCUCUGGGACGGUACUGACGCUGAGACGCGAAAGCGUGGGGAGCGAACAGGAUUAGAUACCCUGGUAGUCCACGCCGUAAACGAUGGGUGCUAGGUGUGGGCGGUGUCGACUCCGUCCGUGCCGAAGCUAACGCAUUAA